Molecule: ribosomal RNA, 253 nt
Filed under: uncultured bacterium
Lineage: Bacteria
Description: partial 16S ribosomal RNA
Rfam family: Bacterial small subunit ribosomal RNA
Source: RNAcentral
UACGUAGGGUGCGAGCGUUAAUCGGAAUUACUGGGCGUAAAGCGUGCGCAGGCGGCUUUGCAAGACAGAUGUGAAAUCCCCGGGCUCAACCUGGGAACUGCAUUUGUGACUGCAAGGCUAGAGUACGGCAGAGGGGGAUGGAAUUCCGCGUGUAGCAGUGAAAUGCGUAGAUAUGCGGAGGAACACCAGUGGCGAAGGCAAUCCCCUGGGCCUGUACUGACGCUCAUGCACGAAAGCGUGGGGAGCAAACAGG